RNAcentral lists this ribosomal RNA (467 nucleotides) under uncultured bacterium. RNAcentral's name for it is "partial 16S ribosomal RNA". It matches the Rfam family "Bacterial small subunit ribosomal RNA", at positions 28 to 506 of the family's 1533-position model. The record is from RNAcentral.
GACGAACGCUGGCGGCGUGCUUAACACAUGCAAGUCGAACGGAAAGGCCCUGCUUUUGUGGGGUGCUCGAGUGGCGAACGGGUGAGUAACACGUGAGUAACCUGCCCUUGACUUUGGGAUAACUUCAGGAAACUGGGGCUAAUACCGGAUAGGAGCUCCUGCUGCAUGGUGGGGGUUGGAAAGUUUCGGCGGUUGGGGAUGGACUCGCGGCUUAUCAGCUUGUUGGUGGGGUAGUGGCUUACCAAGGCUUUGACGGGUAGCCGGCCUGAGAGGGUGACCGGCCACAUUGGGACUGAGAUACGGCCCAGACUCCUACGGGAGGCAGCAGUGGGGAAUAUUGCACAAGGGGCGGAAGCAUGAUGCAGCAACGCCGCGUGCGGGAUGACGGCCUUCGGGUUGUAAACCGCUUUCGCCUGUGACGAAGCGUGAGUGACGGUAAUGGGUAAAGAAACACCGGCUAACUACGU